This 73-nucleotide transfer RNA is filed under the name Bos taurus (domestic cattle). It matches the Rfam family "tRNA". From Rfam's summary of the family: Transfer RNA (tRNA) molecules are approximately 80 nucleotides in length. Their secondary structure includes four short double-helical elements and three loops (D, anti-codon, and T loops). Further hydrogen bonds mediate the characteristic L-shaped molecular structure. tRNAs have two regions of fundamental functional importance: the anti-codon, which is responsible for specific mRNA codon recognition, and the 3' end, to which the tRNAs corresponding amino acid is attached (by aminoacyl-tRNA synthetases). tRNAs cope with the degeneracy of the genetic code in two manners: having more than one tRNA (with a specific anti-codon) for a particular amino acid; and 'wobble' base-pairing, i.e. permitting non-standard base-pairing at the 3rd anti-codon position. The record is from Rfam by way of RNAcentral. RNAcentral also lists the same sequence under 4 other names. Lineage: Eukaryota; Metazoa; Chordata; Mammalia; Artiodactyla; Bovidae.
UCCCUGGUGGUCCAGUGGCUAAGACUCUGUGCUUUCAAUGCAGAGGCCAUGGGUUCCAUCCCUGGUUGGGGAA